CACAAACAGAAGCAUUCAUAUAGAUCUGCCCAUCUGAAAAAGGAUUUAGCAAAGGACAUUUCUCCUUGCAAUGGGACAGCUGAAGAGGUGUAAUUUAACAGCUCUCAGAGGCCGUCACUGUGGUGAUUGAGGUGGACAGAAGGCAUGGACAUGACCAAGGCCCUUAAAAGACACAAACAGGUGGGAGAGUGUGCUGGGGGUGGGCAGAGGGCUGCAGAGGACAAAAAGGAGGAGGCUCGCCUUCGGAGAGCAGAGACGGGAGAAGGCAGACAGCGAGACUGCCCGAGGAACGGGAGGAGAGGGGAGGACAGGAGAUCCGAAGCUAAAAGCUCGGUCACAUCUAGACAGGACACAAUAUGAGGUAAAGCUAGAAUGAAGGACAGGAUUAAAAGAAGGGAAGAGAAAUGAGCGGACAGGGCACAGAGAGGGAGAAAUGACAGACAAUCAGGAAAGGGAACGUGCAUAAAGGAAAGACAAAGAUGAUUUCUCCAUGUGUGACCAGAAGGAGGGCGGUUAAAAAGAAAGAGAAAGGAGUAACAGGGAAAAGGGUCUUAAGACGGAGACAAAAGAAGCAAGCAGUGCACAAGUCCUAGUUAAAUGCUUAGAAAAUCACCAGGCUGUCGGGCUGAGCUGGAAGACGAGCCCUAGCCGUACCCAAGAGGGGACCAUCAGAAAGACGGAGGCAGGCAAUUUAAGUAGCUGGUUACUAGGUAAAAAUGAAAAAAAAAAUUGAAGAAGGAAAAGGUGAGAAGCAGAAGAGGGAAAACCCAAAGGACACACUGGCCCAGAAACCUUUUUAACUUUCUGUAAGAAUCUUCAAGGCCCCAAACUAGGCCAAGAUUCUGACUGACAUUUCUGAGCUCACCAGCUGCUGUUUCCUUGAGAGAAUUCUGACAGGAAGGCAUAGAAACGCAAGCCAACACUGCCAGCGCCGAAAAAAAAUAAAUAAAUAACAACCGUGCUCUGAGCACCUCAAUGGGGCCGAAACCUGUCGGAGAAGGCACACAGCUGAGAAGGACCGCCUGCAACUUUUCCCCAGUGUUGACCAUCUGUCUGCACCCUCAUUGGUGAAAGCUCCUACAACCACACUCUUGAAGAGGGGUCACACCUUCCUGACUUCUGUGUGGCUUUACUCUUCUUCUUCACCUUCUCAUUUUUAGGAAGGUCAGAAUGUAAGAGUCCCAUUCCUUGCCCUGAACUGUUGAGUGUCAGAAACAUUGCACUAGAACAGUGGUUCUCGAAGUGCAGUCCCCAGACCAACAGCAUCAGCAUCACCUGGGAAAUUGUUAGAGAUGCAUAUUCUCAGACCCAACUCAGACCUACUGACUCAGAAACUCUAGGGGUCAGAGAUGGCAAUCUGUGUGUUACCUGGCCCUCCAGGUGCCUCUGGUAGACUAAAUUCAAAGGUUAAGAUUUUUUAUUUCCAGAAUCCACAGAGCUCGGAUCUCCUUACAGGUGCGACUCUGGUCACCUACAGGGCUAUAGCUUCUAAAGGAGACCCUUCCACAAAGAACAACCUCUCCGUCACUGCCUGUGUCCUUCAUCCAUAAAAUAUGAAUUAUUAUAAUGUAAGUUACUUGUUACAGCACUGAGAACAGUGCCUGCACACAGUAAGUGCUCUCUAAGUGUGGUGGUGGUAGUUUUAUCUGCUCCACCCUUACUGAGCAAAGGCCUUCACUGGGUGGUGUGGGAAAUCAAAAAUGAGGCAGUCAGGAUGCCAGCCCAUAUGAGAGGAGAUGCACGCGUUACAGGGACACAAGGAAUCAGACCGCUAGGUGAGAUGUGGUAAGUGCCCAAGUACAUGUGCAAUAACAGGAACUAGACAACUGGAAGAAAAUUUUAUGGAGAAAGUCUUUUGAGCUGAGCCUUAAAGAGGGAGUAAUGGUGAAGAUGGGCAAAGAGAAAAGAACAUUCCAGGUGGAAGCUGAGCAUAGAGAACAUUGGAAAGAUAAGAUGUCAGUGGUCCAGUGUGGACAGUAGUACCCGCUCCCCUUUCUGUUGUUAAUAUGUUAAAUAUUCGUGUUGUGGAGAGGGAUCCCCCGUUCUGGGUCUAAACAUUUGUUACCAUGUUUGAAGAAAUUCUUCCUUUACUCCAAACUAAGUCAUUUCCCUUAGACUGUUGUAAGAUGAGUCCUUUCCAGUAUUGAUGAUUUCAUUACUUCAGUAUCUGUGUCUCUCUUUCUUGUUUAUCAUUAGAUCAAUGUUUUUCAAAGUCCCACUUGCAACAGAACAAAUCAGGAGUGGUUGCAAAAAGGCAGAUUCCUGGGUCCCGGUCCAGAUGGCUUAUUUCAGCACCUUUAAGAGCAAAUCAGAAUAAUCUGCAUUUUAACAGCUCCCUUGUGAUUCAGAUGUUCACUCAAGUUCAAAAAGCAACUCUCCUAGAGCUGUUCUUUCUCAAAUUUACUGAGCGUUGAAAUCACCGUGGGCGUGCUUGUUAAAAAUAUGGACACCCAGCCCUUCUCCUGGAGAUUCUGAUUCCCUGGCUCUGGAGUGGGGUGUAAGAAUGGGAGUUUUAAAAAGUGCCUCUGGAGCACCAAGGAUCAGGCAAGGUUUGCGAAAUACGGCAUAUCUGAAUGAAGGUGUGUUUUGGGUUGGAGAGGUCAAGUCGUAGGCCAGCCAUUUACUAGCUGUGUGAUUUGGGUGAGUUUCUUAAGCACUCUAUGCCUCCACAGUACUUAACCUGCUGGAGACCAUUUCAUCCUGUGUAGUAAGACAUGCUCCACAGAAUUGCUGGAAGCGACAUGGUAAACAGCUUAGUAUGAUGUUGGCUCCCUCUCCACGCUUUGCCCCAUCCUCCCCAGAAGUGCCUGCUCCAGCUCUCCAGCUCUGAUGAGAGGCAGGGCAAGGACAACAGUGACGGCAAAAUGCCACCAAUACUCACCUCUUCUGAGAAAGGUGGCAGGAUGCCUGCAGGGAGAGAAGAUGGGCUUUCGAAGCUGGCCUUGUUCCUGGCUGCCCCUGGGAAGUUAAAAUGGGACACAUGCCCAUGACUGAAUCAAUAUUCAGAACUGGCCGGUCCUCUAAAAAUAGCAAGACGUUCUGGCUGAGCCUUAGGAAAAAGAAGGUCCUACCCUAACGUACUACCCCAUACUUGCCUUAAAAGGAGGGGUCUCUGCUUUAUUUCCUACCUCCUCAGCCAGAUGAUGGUAAACCACAAAUAAUUUGGCUUGUAACUUGGUGAACUCCAGCAUAACUUGUUUCAUGGACAGCCACCAAGAACACCAGCAGUGAUUCCAGUGUAUAAGGUCACAAGUGCUCAGACUUUGGGGUGGCCGUAUCUUUGCAGACGCUCCUCCUGCAGACGCUAGCGGAGUUCUAAUCUCCAUAAAAGCAUGCAAUUUUGAUUAUAGUUUAAGAAAUUAUUACCGAUUGUUUAAAACUUCCCGGCCUAACUGUGGGGCAGAGAAAGGAUAGGGAGCGCUAAGAUGCCUAAAUUCGAAAUUCAGAGAAUGAGACACCGGUGAUUUUUCUUCUGCAGGAAGUCCUGAUUUCCUCUCCUCAUCCAGCAUACACAUGUCUAACCAAGGUCAGAUCUGUUGUCAGAGGGCAAAGGCCUUGUGGUCAAUAAGGGGACACUCAGGGCAUCUCAUCAUCUAUAUUGUUUCAUAAAAGUCCUGAAAAUUUUGUCAGAAAUGGUGCUGAUGGAUAUCUUUUCUUAACAAAUCCUUUUCAAACAUAGCAAAAUAUGAAAAUUUUUUUUUAAAAAAAGAGAAACCAAAAUUGUGGGAGAAAUAUUUUUGAUAAUAUUUAAGCUUUCCCAAGUAUCUUAGAACCACCCCUUGCAUAACAAUUGUCAUCUGAAUGAAACUAGUCAAUCAAAUAUAAAGACCUUCAUGUGCUGAGUAGUUUCAGUUGCUGUAUUUAUAUUAAUUAAUAUUAAAUAAUAGUCAUACGAAUUACUUAUUAGACAUCUAACGCUGUGUUCACAGCAUGUUACAUAAAUCUACCUCAUUGAAGCCUCCUGUUGAGUCAGUAUUAUUAUUCUCACUUUACAGAUGAGGAAACUGAGGCUCAAGGAGCUUAAGUAGCUUGCUCAAGGUCAUAGAGCCAGAAUGCACAGAUGCCCCGGCCAUGCUCUUCCUCCCCACACCCCUCUGCCGCCAAUAACCUUGAAGAUUACAUGGUGUUAGUCUAUAAUCCAGACUUCCCUCUGUCUCAACCCGCCCUUGAUUUUUCCCAAAUCUAAGAGGCUUUCUGAGGAGCAUUAAUGCGAAAUCACCAUCCUCACUUCUCUGUAAUGUUGUGUCUGAGUCAUUUAUGUUCAAAUACUCCCCUGCUCGGAGAGAGAAAUAGGAAAAAGAACUGUGUCUGCUGUUUACAUUUCUGAUGAUACUUUUACUGUUACUUAAGUUCCAAAUGCUGUAAAAUGGUACUUGAUUCUCAAGAACAAGGGAAAGGACAAUUAAUUUAAGGCUUUCAAACAACUGUCUGAUUACAGGGCAGAGGGAGGGAGAAAUAAAUCUUGCUUUCAAUAACAUGGUGAGUGACAUUUUAUAUUGCCAUCGGCCUGUUCUAAGAAACUCAAGACCCUCAUGUGUGUUAUGUCAUUAAUCUCCAACCUGCCCCAUGAUGGGCAGAUGGGGUUACACAACCACUAUUUGCAGAUAAGUGGCAUGGGAUCUGGUGCAGAGAGGAGGGACAGAAAGGUGGGGACUUCGCCAAUAUCACAUAGCACACAAGUGGCCAAGUGACACACCAAAACUCCCCAUUCUUCCUAUUAGCAUCACCUGCCAAAGUCAGAAGAUUUGGGCAGGUAAGAAACCAAACAAAUAGUAUGGAAAAGACCUACAUGCGCCUGCCAUAUCAAUGCCUUUUGCCCUGUGCAAAACUCAGAGAAACGUGCCUUUAUAUUCCAUCCUAGGCUUCGUUUCCGCAUUUAUGCCUCGUCUGAAAUGUUUUGAUUUUGUUGUCAUUGUUUGUUUUGUUUUUCCAGCCCAACUUUCACUCCAUUUUCUAAUCUGUUCCAUCGAUUUCCUUCCUUGCAUCUUGUUAUGACCAGGGAAACCAGGACGAGUGUUAAGACAAGACUUUUGUCAUAGGUAUUCCCAUUUCGAACUUGACCUUUGGGUUCACAAUUCUUUAUGUGUUCUAAGUCAAUAAGAAUUUAGUUCCUCAGACUCAAGAAUGAUCAAGUAAUUGGCUAUUAAAAGUUUUUAUUGUUGUUUUUUUUUCCUGAAGAUUUUGAAGGCAAAUUUUGACUUUUUGACCAUAUGAGGUUGAGCUUGACAAAGACAACAACUCACACCCAAAUUGGGGACAUUCUCACAAGUGGAUGGUUAGCACUGUCUUGGUUAUCUCACACCAUUUCCCUGGAAAUCUAUUUCUUUUGUAUUCUUACAUAAAUUGAUCACCUUCUGGGCCUCAGCUGGCUCAUGAAUGGCAAGUCUAUUAAUGCUGGUUCUUUCUAGUUCUCUGGACCAAAGAACCCAGUGGUCUUUCUCAUCUGUGCAAACUUUCACUUCUGAAACUCACAUGCCAAACCCUUUGGAAGAUCUUGAUCUGACAGGUUUCACUAGUUAUAAGGAAACUUGUCUCAGCUCCUAAGUUCCCUGAUUCACUGGAAGAGAUGAGACCUUUUAAUCUUCUCAAAGGCACAGCCACAGCUUCUCCUUGGCCCCCCGCCUCUCCUGCCCAUCAGCCGCUGCUUUUGAUUGACCACUGUCCCCAAACCUGGGAGAGGAAGAGCAGCCCCAUAUUCUCACUCAUAUGAAGCUUGCACUUGACUAUGGGAGAGAACCAUGUUUUCGUAGCAGAAGCUCAUAUGGCCGCUGGAUUGUAUUAUAUGAGUUAUUGGAUGACUCCCAAGGUCAGCCAGAAACAUUUUAAAUGGGGUGCCUAGGACAUUUACCUAUUUUCCUGAGAAAAACUAUGAAUGCUAAGCCACCACCAGCACCAGCAAACCAAGUGCACAGCUGCAGAGGAAUAAACGUGCACAAAGCAUAAAGCCCAUACUGUUUCCUCCCUCCCUUGCUUCCUUCUCAACUCCUACCCUGCAAGUCUAUCUCCAUGGGUUGGUCCAAGACUGUCCCUCCAACCCAAUUAGUUUUUUUAAACGAUUACCAUUUAUGUAUAUGUAAACCAGUUCGUUUCUAUGACCCUCAUCUGUAAAACCAGAUAAAAAUAAUGGCGAUUUCACAGAGUAGUGAGAAUUUAAGGAGCUCGUCUAAGCAAAGCACCCCGAACAAUCCCUGUCAUAGAGAGGAUGUUUAAAAAGAAUUUGUUCUUAUUUUUAUGACUUUUAUUAAUAGAUUUCAUGAACUGCCCUUGUCAGUGCCUUCAGCCUCAAACCUUCUUUGGGGUGCAAUUCUUCUCUUCGCACACUCCCUGUUUCCUGCCAGAGAAUCAGAUGCCAUGAAGCUGAAACCCCCACCUUCCUCCAGCCAGGGUGGCCUGUGCAGACCCCGAGGGGCUCGGCAGCUGCCAGCGUCCCUCACUCUUUCACAGCUCGGGCCUAACAGAUUGUGGGGCAGGUGAUGGGCUAGGGGAGAAGAAGCCGAACAAAAAGAUCCUUUCCACAAUGAACAAUUGGGCUUGGAAUGCUGUGCCGGCAGCUGCGGCCCAUCGACAUGCGCCCACGACAGACAGACAUACAGUAGGAAACAGGGGGGCCUGGGAGUUCUAAGCAGGAGUUGCUCUCUGUGCAUGUGCAGAAUAGUUCUCUUGGGUUCUCUCUCUCUUUUUUAACUUUUGCUUCAUGGGAUUCCGAACAUUAAAAAAGCAUCAUAUUGAAAUAUAUAAGCAGCAGCUAUUAAAUUAAUGAAUACUAAUCACAAAGAUUAUCGCUACACCCAAAUAAGCCAGUGAAAGUUGUCUGCCAUUUAUUUGUGAACAAACAGUAAAGGAAGAAAUUAGGUCCCAAAGAGUGCCACCAACCCUCACAAUAGCUGUAUUCCAGGAUGGUCUGGAGGAUGACAGGACGGAUGAGAUAAGUUCCCAGUGGUCCCUCCCUCUAAGCGUUGCCCACCUAGAGGAGGAGGAAGGAUGCAAGUGGCCCACAUCUGAGAUGCUGGGCUGCAUCUGGACGACAGAAGAAGCCAGGCUGGAGCCAAGACUGCUUCCCGAGGCCACAUGCUUCUUUAUAUCCCCAUACGGAUUACUUUGCUAUGGAAUGUAAGGAAGUGUGUGGUUUCUGCAAGUGCCUCUUCGCCAGCCCCACGGUCGCCCCCCAGAGCACAGGUUUCACCUUCUUCCUCAACAGGGCUUUGCACCAGAAGCUGUCUCCCUCACCAAUGAAGCGACGGCCUCUGAGUCCCGUCUGAUGUCCUCUCCCACCCGCCCUUCCCUCCUUCUUGAGGUUUCACCGCUCAGCCCAAGAGUCAGGCACACUGGUUGUUGUCCUAGCUUCCCAUGCCCACUAGGCAGAGAGAGGCCACAUCAUCUAAAGGUUUUCCCCGGAAUCAGCCCUCGCCCUCCAAGCUCCUUCCUCCAGUCUUUUUGUUCCUGAAAGAUGUUUCUACGAACCAGACUGAAUUGUAAUUCCUUCCACUCCAUCUGUAUCACUUUCCUUUAUACUCAUCUGUGUCAGUGGCAGUUUGCACAUUUCCAAGGGCUUUCCUUGCAGAUAGGCAGGUGCCGUGAGACUCAGGAGACUACAGCCUCAGGUCACACAGUCAGUCCUCUGACCCUGCUCUGCUCUCCUUUCCACUUCACAUCGCAACCCUGUCACAAAUCAGCGUGGGGUGAGGCUGUUUGCAGAAAAGCUUUGAGGUGCUAAAAUGGUGAUUCACUCAUCUGAUUGGCUAAGUUCCUUUCUCCUCCCUUCCCUGAACCACUGAGUUCCCACCCUGACCCUAAAGAGCCUGAAACCACACCACAAAGGAGUUGGACUUACGAAGGGAGGCCCUGAGCAUGAGGAGAGACUGGUCACCCAAGGCUCAGGCCAUCAUCUACCUACCCCAGCAUUUCAGAAUGAGCCAGGAGGCUGAUGGGAUCUCCCUCCCUCACUUAAACCCCAGCUCCAGAAUGGCUUCAUGCGUUCCACAGCUCUGCUUCCUUGUUGUUAGGGUGACUAUGUGUGAGAUGAGGGCUGGGACCACACGAAAUUGUUACUAUGAGUUCUUAAGCAGAACCAUGAAAGGAUUUGACCUACAUCUGCCAAGAUGCACAGGAGAGGGCUAUAAAAGUGAACUGAGAAGCAGCACAACGAGGCCAUGGGAAGAGGUGGACAGGGAAGGAUGACUGUGGAGUGGCCAGAGACGACGGGACUAUUCCCUCAGAGGCGACAGCACCCAGAGCACACUGGGCCAAGCCCCCACCAGGCUGCGGCAACACAGGUGACACCACCCACCCACCUCUUCCAGACACCGGGAAGUUGUCUAAUGGUCUUCAAGGGCAUGCCAACCUGUCCUGCUUGGGGGUUGGGAGGACUCUAGAAGAACAUGGGGGAAUUACUAGAGCUGAGGCAGCUGCAGGACUGAACACAGAGACACAGCUUCAGAUCAGCGAUUCUCAACUGGAGGUGAUUUUGCCCCUCAGGGCUCAUUUGGCAUUGUCUGGGGACAUUUUGACUGUCACAACCAGGGGGCUAUACUGGCAUCUAGUGAGUACAGACCAGACAUGCUGCUAAACACCUGACAAGGCACAGGCCAGCCCUCCACAGCAAAGACUUAUCUGGCCCAAAAUGUCAAUGCGCUGAGAAACCUGCUUUAGAUAGUGGGGCUUUCAAUGAAUAAGGUCUCUGACAUCAGCAUACUAGGGCACACCAUCUUCCGAGGAAAAUCACUGCCCUACUCUUAAGAACGUUGGUUCAUCUUCCUGUCUGUAAAUUAGGCAGAUGCCUCAAAGUUGUGCUUCUUUCCAGUGACAAGCCUUUCCCUUUUCUAAAUCAUAUCUGCUGUAAAGAUAGUUUUCCCUUCAGAGCCUUAGGUUGAUUUCAUGUUGUCUGCUCAGAGACUGGGGGUGUGUUGUGUGGGUGCAACAGGACGUGAGUAAAGAAGACCAGAGGUAAGAUAAUGAAGAGUAAUGUCCUGGUUGAAGAAAUUGCACUGCAAGAGACUUGUCUUUCUGACUGACGAGCUGGAUGCACGUACUUUUUCCAUCCUGAUGUCAGACUGUCUGGCUGACUUCCCCCUCCACAGCUGCCUACUCCUCGCUCCCCAGAAGGAGCUGGGGAAGGAUGGUUGGGCUAGGAUGAGGUUAGCCAGAGGAAACGCUGGUGAGCAGUGGCCCCAAGACACCUAAGUCAUUAGGAGGAGGAGGGGAAAGUUAAGAUGCCCGACAGCAGAGCUAGUAGGACACGUGCCAAGGAAGAGACGACUCAGUACAAGAAAGAAGCUUUGCCAUCAUCCUGCCCAAGCCAUUCUAGAACCAAGCCAUAGCUGGUGGGGCCCCUGCUUUCCCACCACCACCACCACAGUGUGUUUCACCUAGUUACCGCUUCUACGGUGCCUCACUGAGUGCUUUGAUUUCUGGGACAUCUUAUUUAUUCCAGACAGAGCUCCUAAACUGGGGUACUGCUUGGCUGGGUAAACCAGUUCUGCUUUUCCUGAUCAGCAUUUUCAACAAUUUCAGACAUGAAAUGAAAAUACUUGCAGCCGAGGGAAAGGAAACGUGUGACGGACAGUCUGGAGUUGAGAGUGAAACUCUUGGCCUCACAAGCAGUCAGAAUUGUCUCUAGGACUCUCCCACAACCCCUGAAAGUGUCCACUGUGCUACAGGGGACUUAAUGUUGAGGACCUUUCCUUUGGUAUCACUAAGCCUUGCAACAAGCAGGCGAGGUGGAAGCACUGAUGCUCCCCCACUGUACGGAUACAGAAACUGAGGUUUAAAGAUGUUAUCUAACUUCCUAAGAGCAAAAGCGCUAGGAAGCAUCAAUGAGUUCAAACCCAAUAAGUGUGACUCCAACGCCACACGGUUUCCACUCCAUUACAUUUCUCUUUGUCAGUGAGAGGAAAUAAAAUGCAGGCACACCUGCCCCCAAGGGAGAAGGGCAGCUUUCUGGCAUCCUACAAACUAUCCUUCCAUCCUACCUUUUCCCCUCCUGCUCAAAUACAUUUGUCUUUGACAGAUGGCCAGACCACCUGUCUGGGGAGCAUCUCCUUAAUCAGCUCCCUGCCCCCUCGAUCGCACUUUCCUAGAAACAGGGAGAAAUCAGUGGGUACCUCUGCUAGUCCAGCCGUUCUCAAACUUUAGCUGCAUCAGAAUCACCCGAAGGAUGUCUGGGCCCACUCCCAGGUGUUUGACUGGUAAAUAUUGUUUCUCCUUUGCAAAGGCAACCUACAAGUUCCUACAUAUUGGAAUCUAGACUUCUCCUUUAAAAUCCGUAAGAAUCAAAGUUAUCACCACCUCCCUCGAGAAACCACUUAGUCAGUUCUGCCCAUUUGUUAAACCAAACCAGCUCAAUGUCUAUCGGUGGGAGAAUGACUAAAUAAAGUCUAUUAUAUUCACAUAGUAGAAAACUAUCAAACAAUGCAAAUUAAUAAGCUAUAGCAGCCACAUCAAUAUGGAUGAAUCUUGCAAAUGUCAUUUCAAGUGAAAAUAUCAAGUCACAUAAGAAUACCUGUGAUAGGCUACCAUUAUAUUAAAAAACAAGUAAUACACAAGCUAUAGAGAAGAACAUUUAAAUUGUAAGAACAAAAGGAAUAGCAGUUAUCUCUGAAGGGAAACUAAAGAGAUAAAUUAAGAAAAGCAUUCGGAAAGGCUCAACAGUGUUGGUAAAGUUCUUUUUCUAAGAUAGGUGAUUGUGGGUAUUGGUUUUAUCAUUAUGUGUCAUAACUACACAUGUAUUACAUAUGUUCUCUUAUAAAUACAUCAUAUUUGAACAAAAAAAUGAUAAAAUUUAUUUUAAAAAUUAAGAUGUAAGAUAUUCAAAAUAUACACACCAAAAUGUUGAAUUUAUUUUGGAAGAUGAGACGAGAGAGAAUUAUGGGAGACUUUCAUUUUGUCAUUCUACAAUUUUAUAUCAUUUCGGUUCUUCACAAUGUCCAUAUUUGAAAAAGGAAUAAGGAUCAAAGAAAGAAAAUAAAACAAAGUCAUACAAUGCAAAAUACAAAUUGGGCAUGGUUUUCAUAAAUCCUGUGAGAGGACAUUCUGGGCAAGGCGAGCUCUGGGACUGGAUUCGCGCUAAUGCUGGUUCUCUCUGUGUUGCAG
This 11088-nucleotide long non-coding RNA is filed under the name Equus caballus (horse). Its description in RNAcentral is "lncRNA (ENSECAG00000054207.1)". The stretch from base 7058 to 7133 matches the Rfam family "mir-1 microRNA precursor family". The record is from RNAcentral. Lineage: Eukaryota; Metazoa; Chordata; Mammalia; Perissodactyla; Equidae.